RNAcentral lists this transfer RNA (85 nucleotides) under Bacteroidota bacterium. RNAcentral describes it as "Bacteroidetes bacterium (activated sludge metagenome) tRNA-Leu". It matches the Rfam family "tRNA". Rfam says of the family: Transfer RNA (tRNA) molecules are approximately 80 nucleotides in length. Their secondary structure includes four short double-helical elements and three loops (D, anti-codon, and T loops). Further hydrogen bonds mediate the characteristic L-shaped molecular structure. tRNAs have two regions of fundamental functional importance: the anti-codon, which is responsible for specific mRNA codon recognition, and the 3' end, to which the tRNAs corresponding amino acid is attached (by aminoacyl-tRNA synthetases). tRNAs cope with the degeneracy of the genetic code in two manners: having more than one tRNA (with a specific anti-codon) for a particular amino acid; and 'wobble' base-pairing, i.e. permitting non-standard base-pairing at the 3rd anti-codon position. The record is from RNAcentral. Lineage: Bacteria; Pseudomonadati; Bacteroidota.
GCCUCAGUGGCGGAACUGGUAGACGCGCUCGACUCAAAAUCGAGUGCCGCAAGGCGUGGGGGUUCGAUUCCCUCCUGAGGUACCA